RNAcentral lists this transfer RNA (73 nucleotides) under Candidatus Kaiserbacteria bacterium. Its description in RNAcentral is "tRNA-Lys". It matches the Rfam family "tRNA". From Rfam's summary of the family: Transfer RNA (tRNA) molecules are approximately 80 nucleotides in length. Their secondary structure includes four short double-helical elements and three loops (D, anti-codon, and T loops). Further hydrogen bonds mediate the characteristic L-shaped molecular structure. tRNAs have two regions of fundamental functional importance: the anti-codon, which is responsible for specific mRNA codon recognition, and the 3' end, to which the tRNAs corresponding amino acid is attached (by aminoacyl-tRNA synthetases). tRNAs cope with the degeneracy of the genetic code in two manners: having more than one tRNA (with a specific anti-codon) for a particular amino acid; and 'wobble' base-pairing, i.e. permitting non-standard base-pairing at the 3rd anti-codon position. Lineage: Bacteria; Candidatus Kaiseribacteriota. The record is from RNAcentral.
CCGCCCAUAGCUCAGUUGGUAGAGCGGCGGCCUUUUAAGCCGACGGUCCCAGGUUCGAGUCCUGGUGGGCGGA